AUUGAACGCUGGCGGCAUGCCUUACACAUGCAAGUCGAACGGUAACAGGUCUUCGGGUGCUGACGAGUGGCGAACGGGUGAGUAAUACAUCGGAACGUGCCCAGACGUGGGGGAUAACGCGGCGAAAGCUGUGCUAAUACCGCAUACGAUCUAAGGAUGAAAGCAGGGGACCGCAAAGCCUUGCUCGGUUUGGGCGGCUGAUGGCAGAUUAGGUAGUUGUUGGGAUAAAAGCUUACCAAGCCGACGAUCUGUAGCUGGUCUGAGAGGACGACCAGCCACACUGGGACUGAGACACGGCCCAGACUCCUACGGGAGGCAGCAGUGGGGAAUUUUGGACAAUGGGCGAAAGCCUGAUCCAGCAAUGCCGCGUGCAGGAUGAAGGCCUUCGGGUUGUAAACUGCUUUUGUACGGAACGAAAAGGCUCUGGCUAAUACCUGGGGCACAUGACGGUACCGUAAGAAUAAGCACCGGCUAACUACGUG
RNAcentral lists this ribosomal RNA (482 nucleotides) under uncultured bacterium. RNAcentral describes it as "partial 16S ribosomal RNA". It matches the Rfam family "Bacterial small subunit ribosomal RNA", at positions 30 to 507 of the family's 1533-position model. The record is from RNAcentral.